UGGGGAAUUUUGGACAAUGGGCGAAAGCCUGAUCCAGCAAUGCCGCGUGUGUGAAGAAGGCCUUCGGGUUGUAAAGCACUUUUGUCCGGAAAGAAAUCCUUGGCUCUAAUACAGUCGGGGGAUGACGGUACCGGAAGAAUAAGCACCGGCUAACUACGUGCCAGCAGCCGCGGUAAUACGUAGGGUGCAAGCGUUAAUCGGAAUUACUGGGCGUAAAGCGUGCGCAGGCGGUUUGUUAAGACCGAUGUGAAAUCCCCGGGCUCAACCUGGGAACUGCAUUGGUGACUGGCAGGCUAGAGUAUGGCAGAGGGGGGUAGAAUUCCACGUGUAGCAGUGAAAUGCGUAGAGAUGUGGAGGAAUACCGAUGGCGAAGGCAGCCCCCUGGGCUAAUACUGACGCUCAUGCACGAAAGCGUGGGGAGCAAACAGGAUUAGAUACCCUGGUAGUCCACGCCCUAAACGAUGUCAACUAGUUGUUGGGGAUUCAUUUCCUUAGUAACGUAGCUAACGCGUGAAGUUGACCGCCUGGGGAGUACGUCGCAAGAUUAAAACUUAAAUGAAUUGAC
This 565-nucleotide ribosomal RNA is filed under the name uncultured bacterium. RNAcentral describes it as "partial 16S ribosomal RNA". It matches the Rfam family "Bacterial small subunit ribosomal RNA", at positions 355 to 914 of the family's 1533-position model. The record is from RNAcentral.